ACCAUGUUAUGAUGUAGUAGAUGUUUGAUAAGUUUCGAGUUUUUAAGGUUUCUUGUUUUGUUUUAUUAUAGAAUGACUUCCUUAUUAGAUUCAAACUACAGCAGCAUUAAUAUAUUUUUUUACGGAGGUUUCAUAUUAUGAAACAAGGUACUGUUAAAUGGUUCAACGCAGAUAAAGGUUACGGCUUCAUUACUACUGACGAUGGUGACGUAUUUGUUCACUUCUCAGCUAUCAACAAAGAUGGCUUUAAAACGCUUGACGAAGGCGAAAAAGUUACCUUAGACGUUGAAGAAGGCGACCGCGGCCCACAAGCUGCUAACGUUACUCCAAUCGAAGAGUAAUUUAUCUUUAAAAAGAACAUCCCGUUCGGGGUGUUCUUUUUU
RNAcentral lists this small RNA (383 nucleotides) under Fructilactobacillus florum 8D. RNAcentral's name for it is "Lactobacillus florum 8D cspA thermoregulator". It matches the Rfam family "cspA thermoregulator". The record is from Rfam by way of RNAcentral. Lineage: Bacteria; Bacillati; Bacillota; Bacilli; Lactobacillales; Lactobacillaceae.